GCCGGUGUGGCGAAAUGGCAGACGCACGGGACUUAAAAUCCCGGGAGUGUUAAACCUCGUGCGGGUUCGAGUCCCGCCACCGGCACCA
Molecule: transfer RNA, 88 nt
Filed under: Pedosphaera sp.
Lineage: Bacteria; Pseudomonadati; Verrucomicrobiota; Pedosphaerae; Pedosphaerales; Pedosphaeraceae
Description: tRNA-Leu
Rfam family: tRNA
About the family: Transfer RNA (tRNA) molecules are approximately 80 nucleotides in length. Their secondary structure includes four short double-helical elements and three loops (D, anti-codon, and T loops).
Source: RNAcentral